UGUUGUGGCCAGCCCGCGCGGUAAUACGUAGGUGGCCAGCGUUGUCAGGAAUUAUUGGGCGUAAAGGGUGCGUAGGCGGCUCAUUAAGUGGGAUGUGAAAUCCCUAGGCUCAACCUGGGAACUGCAUUCCAAACUGGAGAGCUAGAGUGCAGGAGAGGAAAGCGGAAUUCCCAGUGUAGCGGUGAAAUGCGUAGAGAUUGGGAGGAACACCAGUGGCGAAGGCGGCUUUCUGGACUGUAACUGACGCUGAGGCACGAAAGCGUGGGGAGCAAACAGGAUUAGAUACCCUGGUAGUCCACGCUGUAAACGAUGGGUACUAGGUGUAGGGGGCGAAGCCCUCUGUGCCGCAGCUAACGCAUAAGUGCCCGCCUGGAGACGUCACUGU
Molecule: ribosomal RNA, 385 nt
Filed under: bacterium enrichment culture DGGE band 61_5_FG_L
Lineage: Bacteria
Description: bacterial SSU rRNA
Rfam family: Bacterial small subunit ribosomal RNA
Source: RNAcentral